AAGGCUUCAGUACGACCCAGUCAGAACUAUAAGUCUCAAAGCCCCGACGAGUAGGGUGGCGUGCCGGUGCGCGUUGAAGGCCAAGACGUGAGUCAGGCUGGAGCCGCCGGUAGUGCAGAUCUUGGUGGUAGUAGCAAGUACUCUGGUGAACCAACCUGGAGCUGUGAGGUCUGGAUUAGGGUUCCAUGUCAACAGUGAUUGAACAUGGGUGAGUCGAUCCUAAGCCAACUGUGAAAGCAGUGACAUCCCGACAAAGGGGCACUACAUGUGAUGCACUUACACCCCCAAAGCAAAGCUCUCGUAUUGCUCUCUCUCUCUCUCUCAAACAAAGUUCUCUCUGAGGAUAUGGUGUCUGGUUAUGGAAUACAAGCGCACACACGAUGAUCACUACGGAGUGUGAGUGUGUGCGCGCUGGUCUGGGUAUGGAAUACAAGCGCACACACGAUGAUCACUACGGAGUGUGAGUGUGUGCGCGCUGGCCUGGGUAUGGAAUAUAAGCGCACACACGAUGAUCACUACGGAGUGUGAGUGUGUGCGCGCUGGCCUGGGUAUGGAAUACAAGCGCACACACGAUGAUCACUACGGAGUGUGAGUGUGUGCGCGUUGGUCUGGUUACGCUCAAAAGCGUUGUUGCUCUCUGAUCUGAUAUGAUGUGAUGUGACGAAGCAAAACCGAGAGAGAGAGAAACGGAGUGGGUGAGCGUGAGUGCAAAUUAUCUCAUGAGCACCCUGCGUCUGGUUCUAUGUCUGGCGAAAGGGAAUGGGGACUUUGUUCCUUGACCGGUCCUGGCACCCUCGAUUGGCUUUGCCAAUUAAUGGUCCAUGCAAAUGGAACCAGGCCACAGCCGUCGGCAGUCGCCCGAGGAAGAGUUUUCUUUUCUGCUUAACGCACGAGGUCAUCCCUGGAAACAGUUCGGCUGGCGAAAGGGUGCCCCGCUGCGGCAGAGCGCCACGACUGUCGUGCGCGUCUCGGUGUUCCUGCUGAUCCGUGAAGACGUGGUCGAGGGGAUUGCUCUUGUAUCAACGAAACGCCCGACAAGUUCGGGACGGACCGUACCCUAUAUCCGCAUCUGGUCUCCAAGGUUCGUAGCCUCUGCAGAGUCAGACACAUGUAGGUAAGGGAAGUCGGCAAACUCGAUCCGUAACUUCGGGAAAAGGAUUGGCUCUGAGGGCCGAGCUGGGCCGGGCCUUGCCUGCAAAGCAGUACCUAUAGUGACCGGAGUUUCAGGAGUGCGAGGGGCUCUAGUAGCUGCUUGUGCGUGUGUGCGUUCGCUCGUGCAUGCGUGUGGGCACGAACGAGUCCACCGCUCCGCUCCAACCACGAACGGCUGUGACGGCAAGGGCUCUGGGCGGGAGCGAUCGAUCCGUUGGCCCCCAGCGCGUCUGGGUGGCGGCGGUGCUCCGUCUGACCCAUACGGCUCCAGCGGCUAGCGGCUAACUCAGAACUGUCAUGGACCAAGGGAAUCCGACUGUCUAAUUAAAACACAGCGUCGUGACGGCCCC
RNAcentral lists this ribosomal RNA (1502 nucleotides) under Niphargus sp. ND399. RNAcentral describes it as "partial large subunit ribosomal RNA". It matches the Rfam family "Eukaryotic large subunit ribosomal RNA", at positions 1357 to 2171 of the family's 3401-position model. The record is from RNAcentral. Lineage: Eukaryota; Metazoa; Arthropoda; Malacostraca; Amphipoda; Niphargidae.